RNAcentral lists this long non-coding RNA (882 nucleotides) under Homo sapiens (human). RNAcentral's name for it is "HSALNT0299560". Lineage: Eukaryota; Metazoa; Chordata; Mammalia; Primates; Hominidae. The record is from RNAcentral.
UUUCAAUAAUUUAUUUUUAAAAGUUAUUUUAUUCCUAAACAGUAGAGUUCACAUCUUUUUCUGCUAAGUUCUUCCACAAGCUGGCAAAGGAUCCAAGAUGUAGCCUGGCAUUUAUCUUUGUUCUCUUUGCCACUCUCAUGGAAAUAUGGUGAAUGCAGUCCGUUCUUAACGGUCGUAUUUAGCCUCGGUUCUGUGAAUUCGAUUUUCUUUUCCUUUUUAAAGGCGAUAGAGUGGGAUCCAAUAGACGUUGGAGCUGACUCUGAGCUUUUUUGACUUGUACGUGUCACAUCUGAAGGCAAGUUCCCUCGUGCUGGAUGAAAGCUAAAAGGCUGGGUGCCCGGUUUACCAUCAGCUCAGGGCAGAAUAAUGAUGCGAGGCCUGACAUUUAAUACACCAGUGAUCCCAGAUAUUGCUGCUGAAAGCUUUCUCCACAAAGCAGGAACCAGAAGAACCUUACGGCAGUGUCUGACUUUAAUUCACAAGUGAGGGAGCCGUGAGGUGAGGGUCAACUAUCACGUGUCUCUUCAACACAAGGGAAAGAACUGCCCAGCAAAGAGAACCCUAUGUAUGUCAUAAAUAUGAGCUCACAGAGUGCGUGGACCCUUUCAACGCAAUGUCAGAGGCUGCCUCUGCAGAAUUGUUUUAGAUAGGUUUUUAACCCUGUGGGACCCUGCCUCAUGGGAACAGUGUCUAUGCUGCAGUCUCUAAGCAAAGAAUAGACUGGGAUGCCUUUUGUUUCAUCUUCUCAGAAAGAACUUUUCACGGAGCAUGGUGGUGCACGCCUGUAAUCCCAGCUACCCAGGAGUCUGAGGCAGGAGGAUUGCGUGAGUCCAGGGGUUCAAGGACAGCCUGGGCAACAUAGUGAGACCCCUGUCUCAAAAG